GACGAACGCUGGCGGCGUGCCUAACACAUGCAAGUCAAGGCGGUAGCAAUACCGACUGGCGCACGGGUGCGGAACACGUAGGUAAUCUGCCCUUUAGGGGAGAACAACUCAUCGAAAGGUGAGCUAAAUCUCCGUAAUGUUUUACUAUGGCAUCAUAGUUCAACCAAGUUUUCUAAGGGAUGAGCCUGCGUCUGAUUAGCUAGUUGGUGAGGUAACUGCUCACCAAGGCUACGAUCAGUAGCUGGUCUGAGAGGAUGAUCAGCCACAUUGGGACUGAGACACGGCCCAGACUCCUACGGGAGGCAGCAGUGAGAAUAUUGCUCAAUGGACGAAAGUCUGAAGCAGCAACGCCGCGUGAGGGAU
RNAcentral lists this ribosomal RNA (363 nucleotides) under uncultured bacterium. RNAcentral's name for it is "bacterial SSU rRNA". It matches the Rfam family "Bacterial small subunit ribosomal RNA", at positions 28 to 409 of the family's 1533-position model. The record is from RNAcentral.